Molecule: RNA transcript, 1861 nt
Organism: Anguilla rostrata (American eel)
Lineage: Eukaryota; Metazoa; Chordata; Actinopteri; Anguilliformes; Anguillidae
Gene name: E3 ubiquitin-protein ligase RAD18-like
Exons: 14
Source: RefSeq, a predicted model, not a curated record
CCACAAGAAUUUACAGGAAGUGACGCUGAAAAGCAUAAGCGCGCGGGAGUUCGAUGAUUUGUUUUUAGCUAUAGUAACUUUAACCACUACAGUUCAUUAACUUUAACUAUUAACGCCUUAGACAAUAGCCCGUCAUUACACCACUGAAAUGUCACAUGAACCAGAUUUGCCUCAAGCUCUUGUUUCCCUUAAAAAUGUCGAUAACUUGCUUCGAUGUCCCAUCUGCUUUGAUUACCUGAACAUUUCAAUGAUGGCUCAGCAGUGCUCUCACACAUUUUGCUCCCUGUGUAUUCGGAAAUUCCUGUCCUACAAAUCGCAGUGUCCUGUGUGUAAUUUAGCUACUACAGAAACAGAUUUAAGGAACAACAGGAUUCUGGACGAUAUUGUUAAGAGCUUUCAAGCAACAAGGCAGCGGUUGUUGCGGUCGCCACCCAUGUCCCCAAAGCCCCCAUCUCCCUCUGCAGCGAAGAGGGUGGCUCUGAAGAGAGAAGGCACGCUCCUCAGUCACUUCCUGCGAAAGGAGCCCUCGCGUGAGGACCCCAGACCGCCACCGGCCCGCGAGGUGGAGGGAACCGCCGCGGCGGAUGAACCGCGCGCGAUCGACAGCGGCGCGGAACUGCCUCCGCCGCCGCCGGGGUCACCUGCCACCAGAUCUUCAUGUUCGCGGCCUGACCCAAGUUCCCUCCCCGCAUCGAAGGAAGGGAGUCCAGUGGUGAAAGUGGAGUGUCCCGUGUGCUUUGUGGGAAUUUCCCAGCAGUUCAUCAACAAGCACCUGGACGGCUGCCUGCGCAGGAAUGAGAAAGAGGAGAGCCUGCGGAGCUCUCUUGGGAAGAGGAAGCCUUUGGCCAAGGUAGUGUACUCCCUGCUGUCUCUGCAAGAGCUGAAGAGGAGACUGAAGGAUUUCCAGCUCUCUACCCAGGGCCCCCGGGACCAGCUGGAAAGGAGGCACCAGGAGUUUGUGCACAUGUACAAUGCACAGUGUGACUCCCUGAAUCCCAAAUCAGCACAAGACAUAGCAAAAGAGAUUGAGAAGAAUGAGAAGGCUCGCAUUCAGGCUCAGUGCAACUCCAAAUGCAUGCCCUUGUUUUCAAAAGGCCAAACUGAUAAAGAAAUUGAAGAAGUACAUUCAAAUUACAGGAAACAGCACAGCGAUGAGUUUUCUCGCCUAAUUGCUGCGGUUAAAAGUCGAUGGAAGACAUCCAAAAGAGCACAGAUUGAGCAGGAAGAUAAAGGAUGCAGUGCUGGCCAGAAAGAAUUCUCAUCAGAAUCUUUAAAUGAAGACACCCUCAAUGACGAGGUUCCAGUCACGACUUUGGAAGAGAGCAGUCUGCAGAUAGAGGUCAUUCCAACAUCACCCUUAGCUCUCAGUGAUGUGUCCACCAGCAGCUCUGUCUCAGAAGUGUUCAGCUCAGAACCUGACUUAAGCCCUGACUGCAGAGCACAGAGGCAUCAUUGCAUGAUUAGGACUUUGGUGUUUCUGUCCUGCUUGGGGUCCAGUUUGAGGCUGCUGGACCACGCUCGCAGACAUCGUAGAGCAUGAAGGCCAAGCAGAACCAUGGUCGAGGCUGCUGCUAACAUGCCCAUGAGCCAGAGAAGGGAUUUUAUUGCUUGUAAAAGCAUAAGAAGCUUGAGAAUACCGUCCAUCUGACAUGGGGACAGGAACAUGGAUAACCUGUGCUGUGGAAAGCGGAAAGCUUUUGCUUCCAGAGACGAAGAUUUGACUCAAUAUGGACAAAGCGGCAAGCGAGCGCGACAGAACUGACAAGAAUUUAAGAUUCAUUGCUGAGGGGAAAAAUAUUUUUUCCAUAUUCUGUCUUUUGUUUUUACUUUUCUUUUAACGCAUUAAAUAAUUUUUAACAUA